Molecule: long non-coding RNA, 938 nt
Organism: Syngnathus acus (greater pipefish)
Lineage: Eukaryota; Metazoa; Chordata; Actinopteri; Syngnathiformes; Syngnathidae
Exons: 2
Source: RefSeq, a predicted model, not a curated record
GCAAGCAAGCAUGAGCUCUCAAGUAGCGCCUGCCACUGCAGGGUGUCUGGCUUUUAUAUCAGCACACGCUGACUCGUGCGGGAGCUUUGACCAUCAAUGGCGCACCAAUGCAUUACGUCUUCUCGCCUUUUCACCACUUGACAGCAGCACCAAGGUAGGCGUAGAAAAAUGUAUCGCCAACCUUUUCUGUGGCACGUUGGAAGAUGAACAAGUUAAGGCAACUCUCACUCCAAAAAAGAUAGAGGGAGGGGAUUGGCUGGAGCUCCCGCAGGACUCGGACAAAACAGCUGGCUGGACAAUUUGACAACAAUGAAAUGAUCCUUCACAAUGUGAUAACAUUAUCAAUAACCUAAUGGGCAACUUAAUACCUAUUGGAAAUAACAUGAUACGGUAAUGAUCAAUAACUGCACGCACGUAAAUGAUGAAUGGGUGGUCUUCAUAAGUACAAGACUGGAUAACGGUUAUCAAUAAGCAUAUGCCUAACUUGCAGAAUCAACGCUAAUUACUCAUUAGCCUUCACAAAAUAUCAAUAAACGAACAACUUGAUGGUUUUUUAACGCAACCCUCCAAUUUAAAAGAGAUGGUCAAGAACCACAAAGCAUGUUGUCUUCACAUGAUGAUGUGAAGACAACAUGAUUCAAUGGACUGAAUGGUCAUUAGGACAUUGAUUCAUGUUUGCAAAUGAUGCAAUGAUUCGCUGUCAAUAUCCUUCAAUCGACUUCAAAGUCGUUGGACUGCUGACCAUUCACGUACACCCGACGAGCCAAUCGGCCGGCCGGCCGGCCGGCCGACCGACAGCAAAUCAAUCCUGAUUACUGUGGCUUAACAAAGAUCAAUGAGGGUUAAUGGUCGCGGUGACUUUGUACCGAUCAACGUGGGACAACAAGGACACGCUAAACUGUUUCCCCCUCACUCUCCAGAGCAAGUGAAAUAAAAAA